GACGAACGCUGGCGGCGUGCCUAAUACAUGCAAGUUGAGCGCUGAAGGUUGGUACUUGUACCGACUGGAUGAGCAGCGAACGGGUGAGUAACGCGUGGGGAAUCUGCCUUUGAGCGGGGGACAACAUUUGGAAACGAAUGCUAAUACCGCAUAAAAACUUUAAACACAAGUUUUAAGUUUGAAAGAUGCAAUUGCAUCACUCAAAGAUGAUCCCGCGUUGUAUUAGCUAGUUGGUGAGGUAAAGGCUCACCAAGGCGAUGAUACAUAGCCGACCUGAGAGGGUGGUCGGCCACAUUUGGACGGAGACACGCCCCAAACGCCUACGGGAGGCAGCAGUAGGGAAUCUUCGGCAAUGGGCGGAAGUCUGACCGAGCAACGCCGCGUGAGUGAAGAAGGAUGUCGGAUCGUAAAACUCUGUUGGUAGGUAAGAACGUUGGUGAGAGUGGAAAGCUCAUCAAGUGACGGUAACUACCCAGAAAGGGACGGCUAACUACGUG
This 497-nucleotide ribosomal RNA is filed under the name uncultured bacterium. RNAcentral's name for it is "partial 16S ribosomal RNA". It matches the Rfam family "Bacterial small subunit ribosomal RNA", at positions 28 to 507 of the family's 1533-position model. The record is from RNAcentral.